This is a long non-coding RNA of Manis pentadactyla (Chinese pangolin), 2747 nucleotides long. RefSeq lists it as uncharacterized. The transcript has 3 exons. NCBI's taxonomy places the organism in Eukaryota, Metazoa, Chordata, Mammalia, Pholidota, Manidae. The record is from RefSeq and is a predicted model, not a curated record.
UCUUUUGGCCAUCUGAAUUUCUAUUUUGCAGAACUGCGUGGGUCGCGGGCGGCGGGCGGGGUACGAGGGGGCCGUGGGCCGGUCCCCCGCGGGCUGCUGGCGGCGGCCAGCGUGGGAGCGGAGCGUCCGGGGCUGCCCCGCGCUACGCUCGUCCGGCGGCCGGCCUGUGCCUGCAGUCCGGGUCGGAAAGGAACUGGAGAGGCGGCUUUCAAGCCCACUCAAUGCCAUCCUACCCCGCGGCUCCGCAGGGGUCGGAGUGGAGGGCGGACCGGUCACCGCCCUUUGGCAACCCACGCCGGCUCGUGUUAGUCCUCAGGAAUCAGCGCGCGGGCUGCUGACUGCUUUCCAGGGGCUGAUGGAAGUUCGCUCCAUUCCGUCUGUGAGAAACACUAGGUGAAUUCAGAAAACUGCACCCUUCUGAUCUGAGUGGCCUAGGAAUACCCUAAACAUGCACACACCUCAGACACCUGCCCUCCACUGCUUCAUCACUUAAAGCUGCAGCCCUUCCAGCACCCGCUUCCACCAGCCACCUUCAGGUCUUUCUCAAGAAGGUGAAAUUAGGUCUGGAAGGGCUAACAAUGAAAACUCCGGAGGAGGAUCUGCAGCUUCAGUCACGGUGUCAUUUGGUGCUUCUUUUUGGAACCAACUGCCAUCCUUGGCGGAAGCAAAAGCAGCCCACGUAGACGGAAAGCCAGGCACUCCAGCCGGCAGCCCGCGCCAGCCGCCCGCCACCAAGCGGCCGCCUUUGGCCCAGCAGCUGGCCCACAGCUCUGACGAAGAUGGGUACAUGUUCCGCGUACCGCUAAUCAUGUGACUCUUUUAGAAGAGAAGAGUGUGUUUUUUGGAGAUUGUAUCCUAGUGAAGAAACAGCUGUAUUUGAAGACCUGUUAAUGUUAUAUGAACUCCCUAAAAUUAAGUUAUGGAAAAUUAAAACUCACUAAGAUGUACAGGCCUAGUAAUCCUUAAUGCUGAAGUUAAAAUUAUACAAUAUAUCUUUUACUAGAAAUACCUGAGAACAAGUCCACACAUUAUUUUGUGAGGACUUUGAAAAAUCAUUUAUAAUAACAGAUGUAAAAGAUUUUAAUCUUUUAAGACCUCUCACAUCAUUUACAUAAAAUAUUUUAUCAUAAUCUUUUGAUUUAUUUUGGGGCUGAGGACUAGAGAAAGAAGAAAAUUAAGCAACAUGGAUCCUUACAAGAAAUUGAUUUAAAAUUUUUUAUUUUUAUUUUUUUGGAGUGUGGUGUGUUUUCUUAAUUUGGAUCAUUUAUACAAAGUAUAGAGUGUAGAACAUUGAAAAAAUCUUAGAUAUAUUUAAAAUUAGUCAUUCUGUUAUAAGAAUUAUGUAAAUUACAUAAUAUAAUAUGGACUAUUUUCUAAUCUUAAUUUUAUAACAUUUUACCAAAAACUCAAAAUCUAAGUUUACCAACUUAUUAAUAGACUAAGUAAAAUGGUUAUUUUAAAAGCAUUUAUUUUAAAUGAGUAAAAAGAAUGAGAAGGCAAUCUUAAAGCAAUUUGGCUAUUUCUCUUCUGAAAUCUUUCUAUCAGCAUUUAGAAUCUCUCACAACACAGAACCAGAGAAUACUAAUACAAAAAGGCCCUUAGAGAUCAUCUCUUCCAUUUUUCAAGUAAGAAAACUGAUGCCCCAGAAACUGCUCAAAGUCUUUCAGUAUUUGAGAAGGGAAAAGAAUUUUUGGUACCCUUUUCAUUAUGUUGGCUUACCUGUAGCAUUCAAUUACAUAUCAUUCUGUAUUUUUUGAGGUAUCAUUCAAUGUUUAAUUUCACCUACUCAUUUGUAAGCUCCCUUAGGUAGCUUUUAUAUUUUGUGUAGUCUUAAAAGAGCUAUUACAUAAGCUGUUUAACAGUGAAGAGUUCUGGUAGUACACACUGAUUGGUUGGUUGAUUUGAGUGUGUGUUUUUAACUCAGAAUGCCUAGUGCAAUGCUCUGGUUCCCAUUAGAUGUCCUUUUCAUGCUUAAAAAUUAGUAAUACUUAUAUCACAUAAAUGACUUAUUUAUUUUGGGUUAACUAGAAAACUGGAUUUAGUAUACUCAUGUUGAAGCUUGAAGUAGAAUCUAUCCUCAGUUAAAAUGUCAGUUAAAAUACAACGGUAAAGAACAGUAAGGUGCAUGAAUAGCAUCUGAUCUUAGCUUGCAAGCAAGCCAGUUAAUCUGGAAAAUGGGAGGAGGUAUCAGGAAAAUGGCAAAUUAUGGAAAGUCUUUUUGAUUAUUAGAUAAUUACUUUCACAGAUUUUAAUUGUAACAGUUACAACUCUUUCUUUCCAUCAGCGGCUACACUAUCAGAAUUUUGUUGCCAGAACAGAAAGAAAUUCAAAACGUGUGUGUGUGUGUGUGUGUGUGUGCACGCGCGCGCAUGUUUUAGGACUAGCAUGAGUCCAGGAUGCUAAAAAACAAUUUUUAAGGUGGUUAUUGUACAAAAAUAGUUACUUAAUGUCACUAAAUAGGCUCAGAUAUAUAGAAAUAUUAUGUGGCCAAUCAACAUUGAGAAACUGAUUUGGAUUAAUUAUUAAGAUGGAACACUUCUGUUACAAUCAAAAUAGUGAAAGAAAAGAUAAAGACAUGUAAAGGUAUGACCAGGUGUCAUACAAGUGAGAACCCAGAAGGGACAACUCCCUGUGGGUUUGAAUGAGGGUUUGAAUCCUCAGUAUAGAGCAUGUAGGAGCUGAGGUGAGUUGGGCCUUAUGAGAUGAGUCAGCAACAUUAUAGCAGAUAGGAAGAAGGGAUGUGGGAU